UGCCGGGAAGCCUGCAGAGCGGCUCCAGGACGCACAACGCCAGGGCAGCGUCUGCAGUCGUGCCGAAGCUCUUUCCCCACUUCUGACACGUCUUCUUUGUGUGCAAACCACGGGUUCCCCCAAUCCCGGGAGGAAACCUCCACGAUCCGCAGCGUCUGAAUUAACACGGCUUGUGGGAACCCAAUGAGCUCAUCCCACAGGAGGAUCUAAUGGUGCUGCGUGCUGAUACCUGAAAUGACCAUCUUAGAGCUGCUUCAAGUACCUAAUUACUGCGCUGUAAUCAGCAGGCCACGUAAAGAGCCCCGGCUGAUCAGCCUAACUAGAGUUUGCUAAACACCAGCUGUAUUGUCCUUCCUGAAGCCAGGGGACACAGAACUGGCCUAACAAGCCUGAGGACAUGAUUAAAGGGACCAAAGACUGGAGCAGACAUCCAUCGGGGUCUCGACGGAGCCUGUGACCCGCACCCGGGUGUCUUGGGCACAUUCCUACACCUCCCAGGUGGCACCCCCCGCCUUCUGGGGGCCUGGAGGGUCAGCUGGGCAGGGCUCUUGUACCCCCUCCCCGCCGGCCCCGCGCCCUGGCCCACGAUGGCCCAGUGGAGGUGAGGCCCGCCGGGGUGGGUGCUCAAGCACUCAGGACACACCCGGGGUGGCUGUCACAGGAAAUGGCCUUUCCUCCCUUGCUGUUUCUUUUUGAGUGUGAGGCAAACUACAAAAUUUCCCCGCAGAUGGUAAAGGACCCGAAGUCGGACACCCUAACUUUGGUUUGGGGAUUUUGCUCUUCGGAUGGGCGCUUCAUUCUGCAACUCCAAAUGCAGAAACUGAGCCACCAGCGCGGGAACCAGACUCCUGAGCGGUGGCUCGCGGGCCCUCCCUGGCCGGGGCCUCGGGGGACUGUGUCCUGAACAGGCGCAGACCGGUCUGGGGUUGCCUGGGCGACCUGGGCAUUUCUCCCACGCUUCUGUUCCGGUGGAGGGGCGGCUCUCAACUCCAGAGAGAGGUAGAAAAGGAUCAAGCUCCCCAGCUUGUCUGGAGCCUUGAUUCUGUUUGUAAGGAUAAAUAAAACUGAUUUUGCCCCAGAA
Suricata suricatta (meerkat) is the source of this 1081-nucleotide long non-coding RNA. RefSeq lists it as uncharacterized. The record is from RefSeq and is a predicted model, not a curated record. NCBI's taxonomy places the organism in Eukaryota, Metazoa, Chordata, Mammalia, Carnivora, Herpestidae. The transcript has 2 exons.